This 257-nucleotide ribosomal RNA is filed under the name uncultured soil bacterium. RNAcentral describes it as "partial 16S ribosomal RNA". It matches the Rfam family "Bacterial small subunit ribosomal RNA", at positions 26 to 286 of the family's 1533-position model. The record is from RNAcentral.
AGGACGAACGCUGGCGGCGUGCUUAACACAUGCAAGUCAAGGGGGCCCAGUAGCAAUACUGGGCAACCGGCGAACGGGUGCGUAACACGUGAGCAACCUACCGAAAUGUGGGGGAUAGCCGGCCUAACGGCCGAGUAAUACCGCAUACGCUCUCGAUGAGGCAUUUCAUUGAGAGGAAACCUACGGGACAUCUCGAGGGGCUCGCGGCCUAUCAGCUAGUUGGCGAGGUAACGGCUCACCAAGGCAACGACGGGUAG